Molecule: ribosomal RNA, 1937 nt
Filed under: Synechococcus sp. AH-707-B22
Lineage: Bacteria; Bacillati; Cyanobacteriota; Cyanophyceae; Synechococcales; Synechococcaceae
Description: partial 23S ribosomal RNA
Rfam family: Bacterial large subunit ribosomal RNA
Source: RNAcentral
GGUCAAGCUACAAAGGGCUCACGGCGGAUACCUUGGCACACAGAGGCGAUGAAGGACGUGGUUACCUGCGAUAAGUCUCGGGGAGCUGGAAACACGCUUUGAUCCGGGAAUUUCCGAAUGGGGCAACCCUUAGAACGGCCAGCUGAAUCUAUAGGCUGGCGCGAGCCAACCCAGCGAACUGAAACAUCUUAGUAGCUGGAGGAAAGGAAAGUAAAAACGACUCCCUAAGUAGCGGCGAGCGAACGGGGAAGAGCCUAAACCAAUGGUUUCGACCAUUGGGGUUGUGGGACAGCAACGUGGAUCAGGAAUGUUAGUGGAAGUGUUUGAAAGACACGCCAUAGAAGGUGAAAGCCCCGUACACGAAAACUGAACUGACCUAGCUGUAUCCCGAGUAGCACGGAGCACGUGGAAUUCCGUGUGAAUCAGCGAGGACCACCUCGUAAGGCUAAGUACUCCUGUGUGACCGAUAGCGAAACAGUACCGCGAGGGAAAGGUGAAAAGAACCCCGGGAGGGGAGUGAAAUAGAACAUGAAACCGUGAGCCUACAAGCAAUGGGAGCCCUACUAAUAGGGUGACCGUGUGCCUGUUGAAGAAUGAGCCGGCGACUUAUAGGCACUGGCGGGUUAAACCGGAAAUGGUGGAGCCAUAGCGAAAGCGAGUCUGAAUAGGGCGUUUGUCAGUGUUUAUAGACCCGAACCCGGGUGAUCUAACCAUGGCCAGGAUGAAGCUUGGGUGAUACCAAGUGGAGGUCCGAACCGACUGACGUUGAAAAGUCAGCGGAUGAGCUGUGGUUAGGGGUGAAAUGCCAAUCGAACCCGGAGCUAGCUGGUUCUCCCCGAAAUACGUUGAGGCGUAGCGUCUCGUGCUCCAGCAGGGGGGUAAAGCCACCAUUUCGGUGCGGGCUGCGAGAGCGGUACCAAAUCGAGAUGAACUCUGAAUACCCUGUGUGUAGCGAGGCAGUCAGACUGUGGGGGAUAAGCUCCAUGGUCGAGAGGGAAACAGCCCAGACCGCCAGCUAAGGUCCCCAAAUCAACACUAAGUGAUAAAGGAGGUGGGAUUGCCCAGACAACCAGGAGGUUUGCCUAGAAGCAGCCAUCCUCAAAGGAGUGCGUAAUAGCUCACUGGUCGAGCGAUCCUGCGCCGAAAAUGAAUGGGGCUAAGUGUUGUACCGAAGCUGCGGAUUUAUGGUAGGGGAGCGUUCUAUGUGGGGCGAAGCGUUAGCGUGAGCGGGCGUGGACUGCAUAGAAGUGAGAAUGUCGGCUUGAGUAGCGAAAACAUGGGUGAGAAUCCCAUGCACCGAAACCCUAAGGGUUCCUCCGGCAGGCUCGUCCGCGGAGGGUUAGUCUGGACCUAAGGCGAGGCCGAAAGGCGUAGUCGAUGGAUAACAGGUCAACAUUCCUGUACCGGUUAUGUUUUGGGAAGAGGGACGGAGAAGGCUAGCCAAGCCAGAUGUUGGUUACUGGUUCAAGCGUUCGAGGCGUUGAGGAUCGGCGAAAACGAUCCGAGCUGAGGCGUGAGUACGAGCUGCUACGGCAGCGAAGUUGGUGAUGUCAUGCUUCCAAGAAAAGCUCUAUACCCGUUAAGGCAUAACUGCCAGUACCCGAAACCGACACAGGUGGGGUGGUAGAGAAUACCGAGGUGCGCGAGGUAACUCUCUCUAAGGAACUCGGCAAAAUGGCCCCGUAACUUCGGGAGAAGGGGUGCCACAGCAAUGUGGUCGCAGUGAAGAGGCCCUGGCGACUGUUUACCAAAAACACAGGUCUCCGCUAAGUCGCAAGACGAUGUAUGGGGGCUGACGCCUGCCCAGUGCCGGAAGGUUAAGGAAGCCGGUCAGCGUAAGCGAAGCUGGCGACUGAAGCCCCGGUGAACGGCGGCCGUAACUAUAACGGUCCUAAGGUAGCGAAAUUCCUUGUCGGGUAAGUUCCGACCCGCACGAA